CCCUUAGAUGUUCUGGGCCGCACGCGUGCUACACUGAGUAAUUCAAUGGGUAAGGGAACGCUAGAGCAUUACCUAAUCUUGAAAUUUGCUCGUGAUGGGGAUCGACGGUUGCAAUUUUCCGUCGUGAACGAGGAAUACCUUGUAGGCGCAUGUCAUCAUCAUGCGCCGAAUACGUCCCUGCCCUUUGUAAACACCGCCCGUCGCUCCUACCGAUUGAGUGAUCCGGUGAGGCUCUGGGACCUGGACGGAAAGAGCGUUUCGCUUGUUCUGUUUGGGAAACUUGGUCGAACCUUAUCAUUUAGAGGAAGGAGAAGUCGUAACA
This 322-nucleotide ribosomal RNA is filed under the name uncultured eukaryote. RNAcentral describes it as "partial 18S ribosomal RNA". It matches the Rfam family "Eukaryotic small subunit ribosomal RNA", at positions 1470 to 1796 of the family's 1831-position model. The record is from RNAcentral.